GGCCGCCUCUGGAGAGCAGCAGCCAUGGCUCUGCGCUACCCUAUGGCCGUGGGCCUCAACAAGGGCCACAAAGUGACCAAGAACGUGAGCAAGCCCAGGCACAGCCGCCGUCGCGGGGUGAGUGCGGGGGCCGCGCGGAGGUUGUUGGGGGUUUCUUGGAGGGCGGAGGGCAUGGUUUGGGCAAAGGCUCUCGACCUGAAAGAACGCGCAUUCGGGCGCAGAACUAAGGGGGGCUUGAAUGGAGGAGAUGGGGUGGGGGAGUGGGACUUCCUGCCUGGGGCUCGAAGGCGGACACCCAUCUGGGUUUUCCCUGACCGUGCAAUCCACGCUGGGGCAGAGGGAGCACCUUGAGAGCGGCGCGGGGCAGCGGAUUUGGGGUUCUGACGCAGGAGUAGGAGUUCGCUCAUGGAGCUGACCCGAGGUUGAGGGAUUUCAGGUGUGUCAGUGUAUUGGGCUCCUUUAUUUAGCAGGCAGCCCAGACUCCAGGUGCGUCCUGCCAGUGUUGCGGAGACUGGGACUUAGGGAGGAUGGGAGCUGCUCCGGGCGCGGUGAAAAGCGCUAGGAGUUGGUACUUUGGUUCUCACAGCUACCCACACAGGGGAGGAAGUAGCCAGGGGAAUCGCGGCAGCGCGGGAGAAGCUGCUUAACUAGAAUGCAGGGAUCCCCCCUACCCUGACGGCCGCCCCUUCCCCCCCCAGCGUCUGACCAAACACACCAAGUUCGUGCGGGACAUGAUUCGGGAGGUGUGUGGCUUUGCCCCAUACGAGCGG
Molecule: small RNA, 770 nt
Filed under: Pongo abelii (Sumatran orangutan)
Lineage: Eukaryota; Metazoa; Chordata; Mammalia; Primates; Hominidae
Description: retained intron
Source: RNAcentral